AAUAGAUACCCGGGUAGUCCACGCCGUAAACGGUGGGUACUAGGUGUGGGUUUCCUUCCUUGGGAUCCGUGCCGUAGCUAACGCAUUAAGUACCCCGCCUGGGGAGUACGGCCGCAAGGCUAAAACUCAAAGGAAUUGACGGGGGGCCCGCACAAGCGGCGGAGCAUGUGGAUUAAUUCGAUGCAACGCGAAGAACCUUACCUGGGUUUGACAUGCACAGGACGCCGGCAGAGAUGUCGGUUCCCUUGUGGCCUGUGUGCAGGUGGUGCAUGGCUGUCGUCAGCUCGUGUCGUGAGAUGUUGGGUUAAGUCCCGCAACGAGCGCAACCCUUGUCUCAUGUUGCCAGCACGUUAUGGUGGGGACUCGUGAGAGACUGCCGGGGUCAACUCGGAGGAAGGUGGGGAUGACGUCAAGUCAUCAUGCCCCUUAUGUCCAGGGCUUCACACAUGCUACAAUGGCCGGUACAAGGGCUGCGAUGCCGUGAGGUGGAGCGAAUCCUUUCAAGCCGGUCUCAGUUCGGNUCGGGGUCUG
Molecule: ribosomal RNA, 531 nt
Filed under: uncultured bacterium
Lineage: Bacteria
Description: bacterial SSU rRNA
Rfam family: Bacterial small subunit ribosomal RNA
Source: RNAcentral